UGGAUUAGAGAAGGCCCAAUCGAGUACAGGAGGCAGCAGUGGGGUAUAUGAACAAUGGGCGGAGCAUGAUCCAGCAAGGCGGGGUAAGUGAUGGAGGCCGGAAGAAGGGAAAGAUAUUUGAUCGAGAGGAGGAUGGGAGUAUGGGGAAGAAAAAGUCACGGCUAAAUCCAGCCACACGCGGGCGGUAAACAGGGGAGCUAGCGUUGUACGAAGUAUUCUGGGGGUAAAGCGCACGUACAGGGCUUUUUAUGUCAGGGGUGAAAUCCCAGGGCUCUACCCCGGAACUGGCCUUGAAACUGGGAAGCUAGAAUCUUGGAGAGGCGAGUGGAAUUUCGAGCGUAGAGGUGAAAAUUGUAGAUAUGUGGAAGACCACCAGUGGGAAGGCGACUCGCUGGACAAGUAGUGACGCUGAGGGGGGAGAACGUGUGGAGAAGACACGAUUAGAUACCCUGGUAGUCCACACCCUAAUCGAUGAGAACUAUCUGUCCGGGUUCAUAGAACUUGGGUGGCGCAGCUAACGCAAUAAGUAUCC
RNAcentral lists this ribosomal RNA (532 nucleotides) under uncultured bacterium. RNAcentral describes it as "bacterial SSU rRNA". It matches the Rfam family "Bacterial small subunit ribosomal RNA", at positions 314 to 869 of the family's 1533-position model. The record is from RNAcentral.